GAUGAAGAACGUAGCGAAAUGCGAUAAGUAGUGUGAAUUGCAGAAUUCAGUGAAUCAUCGAAUCUUUGAACGCACAUUGCGCCCCUUGGUAUCCCGAGGGGCAUGCCUGUUCGAGCGUCAUUUCACCACUCAAGGCUGGCUUGGUGUUGGGCGACGUCCUCUUUGGGGACGCGCCUCGAAACGCUCGGCGGCGUGGCACCGGCUUUAAGCGUAGCAGAAUCUUUCGCUUUGGAAGUCGGGGCCCCGUCUGCCGGAAGACCUGCUCGCAAGGUUGACCUCGGAUCAGGCAGGGAUACCCGCUGAACUUAAGCAUAUCAAUAAGGGAGGA
Molecule: unclassified non-coding RNA, 328 nt
Filed under: soil metagenome
Description: partial contains 5.8S ribosomal RNA, internal transcribed spacer 2, and large subunit ribosomal RNA
Rfam family: 5.8S ribosomal RNA (bases 1-120)
Source: RNAcentral